AGAGUUUGAUCCUGGCUCAGGACGAACGCUGGCGGCACGCUUAACACAUGCAAGUCGAACGAGAGAAGAGGAGCUUGCUUUUCUGAUCUAGUGGCGGACGGGUGAGUAACACGUGAGCAAUCUGCCUUUCAGAGGGGGAUACCGAUUGGAAACGAUCGUUAAUACCGCAUAACAUAAUUGAACCGCAUGAUUUGAUUAUCAAAGAUUUAUCGCUGAAAGAUGAGCUCGCGUCUGAUUAGCUAGUUGGUAAGGUAACGGCUUACCAAGGCGACGAUCAGUAGCCGGACUGAGAGGUUGAUCGGCCACAUUGGGACUGAGACACGGCCCAGACUCCUACGGGAGGCAGCAGUGGGGAAUAUUGCACAAUGGAGGAAACUCUGAUGCAGCGAUGCCGCGUGAGGGAAGAAGGUUUUAGGAUUGUAAACCUCUGUCUUCAGGGACGAAAAAAGACGGUACCUGAGGAGGAAGCUCCGGCUAACUACGUGCCAGCAGCCGCGGUAAUACGUAGGGAGCGAGCGUUGUCCGGAAUUACUGGGUGUAAAGGGAGCGUAGGCGGGAUCGCAAGUCAGAUGUGAAAACUAUGGGCUUAACCCAUAAACUGCAUUUGAAGCUGUGGUUCUUGAGUGAAGUAGAGGUAAGCGGAAUUCCUAGUGUAGCGGUGAAAUGCGUAGAUAUUAGGAGGAACAUCAGUGGCGAAGGCGGCUUACUGGGCUUUAACUGACGCUGAGGCUCGAAAGCGUGGGGAGCAAACAGGAUUAGAUACCCUGGUAGUCCACGCCGUAAACGAUGAUUACUAGGUGUGGGGGGACUGACCCCUUCCGUGCCGCAGCAAACGCAAUAAGUAAUCCACCUGGGGAGUACGACCGCAAGGUUGAAACUCAAAGGAAUUGACGGGGGCCCGCACAAGCAGUGGAGUAUGUGGAUUAAUUCGAAGCAACGCGAAGAACCUUACCAGGUCUUGACAUCGUAUGCAUAGCUCAGAGAUGAGUGAAAUCUCUUCGGAGACAUAUAGACAGGUGGUGCAUGGUUGUCGUCAGCUCGUGUCGUGAGAUGUUGGGUUAAGUCCCGCAACGAGCGCAACCCUUACUGUUAGUUGCUACGCAAGAGCACUCUAGCAGGACUGCCGUUGACAAAACGGAGGAAGGUGGGGAUGACGUCAAAUCAUCAUGCCCCUUAUGACCUGGGCCUCACACGUACUACAAUGGCUGUCAACAGAGGGAAGCAAAGCCGCGAGGUGGAGCGAACCCCUAAGAGCAGUCUUAGUUCGGAUUGUAGGCUGCAACCCGCCUACAUGAAGUCGGAAUUGCUAGUAAUCGCAGAUCAGCAUGCUGCGGUGAAUACGUUCCCGGGCCUUGUACACACCGCCCGUCACGCCAUGGGAGUCGGUAACACCCGAAGCCUGUAGUCUAACCGCAAGGAGGACGCAGUCGAAGGUGGGAUUGAUGACUGGGGUGAAGUCGUAACAAGGUA
Molecule: ribosomal RNA, 1470 nt
Filed under: metagenome
Description: bacterial SSU rRNA
Rfam family: Bacterial small subunit ribosomal RNA
Source: RNAcentral